Molecule: ribosomal RNA, 253 nt
Filed under: uncultured bacterium
Lineage: Bacteria
Description: partial 16S ribosomal RNA
Rfam family: Bacterial small subunit ribosomal RNA
Source: RNAcentral
GACAGAGGAUGCAAGCGUUAUCCGGAAUGAUUGGGCGUAAAGCGUGCGCAGGCGGUUGGGUAAGACAGAUGUGAAAUCCCCGGGCUCAACCUGGGAACUGCAUUUGUGACUGCACGGCUCGAGUGCGGCAGAGGGGGAUGGAAUUCCGCGUGUAGCAGUGAAAUGCGUAGAUAUGCGGAGGAACACCGAUGGCGAAGGCAAUCCCCUGGGCCUGCACUGACGCUCAUGCACGAAAGCGUGGGGAGCAAACAGG